RNAcentral lists this ribosomal RNA (819 nucleotides) under uncultured Cryptomonadaceae. RNAcentral describes it as "SSU rRNA". It matches the Rfam family "Eukaryotic small subunit ribosomal RNA", at positions 442 to 1278 of the family's 1831-position model. The record is from RNAcentral. Lineage: Eukaryota; Cryptophyceae; Cryptomonadales; Cryptomonadaceae.
UACCCAAUCCCGAUUCGGGGAGGUAGUGACAAUAAAUAACAAUACAGGGCCAACGGUCUUGUUAUUGGAAUGAGAACAAUUUAAAUAACUUAACGAGGAUCAAUUAGAGGGCAAGUCUGGUGCCAGCAGCCGCGGUAAUUCCAGCUCUAAUAGCGUAUAUUAAAGUUGUUGCAGUUAAAAAGCUCGUAGUCGGAUGUCGGGCUCGGGCAGGCUGUCGGCUUCGGUCGGACGGCAGGCUCGGGUCUUUCUGCCUGAGGAUCCCGUGCACUUUAUUGUGGGCGGGGGACGCAGGCCGUUUACUUUGAAAAAAUUAGAGUGUUCAAAGCAGGCCUACGCUUGAAUACAUUAGCAUGGAAUAAUGGAAUAGGACUUUGGUGCUAUUUUGUUGGUUUAUGGGACCGAAGUAAUGAUUAACAGGGACAGUUGGGGCCGUUUAUAUUUCGUUGUCAGAGGUGAAAUUCUCGGAUUUACGAAAGAUAAACUUCUGCGAAAGCAUUCGGCAAGGAUGUUUUCAUUGAUCAAGAACGAGAGUUAGGGGAUCGAAGACGAUCAGAUACCGUCGUAGUCUUAACCAUAAACUAUGCCGACUAGGGAUCAGUGGAUGUCAAUUUGCGACUCCAUUGGCACCUUGUGAGAAAUCAAAGUUUUUGGGUUCCGGGGGGAGUAUGGUCGCAAGGCUGAAACUUAAAGGAAUUGACGGAAGGGCACCACCAGGAGUGGAGCCUGCGGCUUAAUUUGACUCAACACGGGGAAACUUACCAGGUCCCGACAUAGUAAGGAUUGACAGAUUGAAAGCUCUUUCUUGAUUCUAUGGGUGGU